UACAUUUCUACAUUAUUACAUGAUUUUUUGCCAGCUAUAACAAAAAUAAUAUGGUACUAAGUGUCCGGAUUUCGAAUUAUGACGUUAGUUCCCCGUACCUCUUGGUUGUCCAUAAUCAAGGUUGGCAAUCGGGACACAACAGCGAUUAAGAGUUUUUUGCAAAUGUUAUCAACAAAUAAAGGCGCGCAACAGGAUGUUGUUAUCGAAUGUGGGUAAAAUGUGAAUUGUGGCGUCACUUCAGUGCACUUUUAGACAUGGUACUAGGCCGAGAUGGCUACGUUUAGUUUGCAAGCGUUUGAAUGCGAAGAAACCACUUUCGAGGAUUUAUCACUAGGGGUGUUCGGAAAUAAACUGAGGCAAAUCUGCCUUCGCAAAGUCGAACCCAAGCAGUUGACAGAAAUUUGCCAGAGGUUCCCGUACAUAGAAACGUUGAAAAUACUUGACACUGCGCUGUCAAAUGAGGACCAGGUAACAAUCGCAAAUAACCUGACACAACUGGAAACCCUCCAAAUUACAAUUCAGCAGAGAGAAUUCCAGGAUAUAACAUUCGUAGAAGAGCUACCGAAAUUGAAACACCUUAAGUUAAAAUCAGAUGGAAGUUACGGCUCGACAGGUGGAUACAACUGGCUGAAUUUUUAUGAACCAAAGCAUUGUAAUUUGGAAGAACUUAAUUUAGAAAACUUUUCACAAAGUAAAUUAAGUUUUAAUUCUUUUGAUUGGUUCGCUAAAUUCCCACAUCUGCAAUGCGUAACGUUGACGGACUGUUUUGUAGACGGUUGGUUCAAUGUUGUCAAUCAGCUUAGUAAACUGAGGAUGCUUCGCUAUUUAGAAAUGAAUAAUGUGUCAUCACGUACAGCAGAAGUAAAUGUUGUGACAAAUAGAUUUUUUAAUCUUGAAGUUUUAAAAAUUAAAAAGUGUAAUUUUCCAAUUGACAUAUUGUCCACGUUUCUGAGGCAGUGUUCACAAAUUUUAAAUAGCGUUUAUUUGCUGGAAAAUGUUAUUCUUUUAACCGAUCCAAAUUUAACACUUGAAGGUUUGCUGCAAAAUAGGAUUCAAUAUUUUGGUGACUUUUUAUUGAAUGAAACUCAGGUUUCUUCAGAUUCAUCAUUGGAGAGCAUCAGUGUUGUUUUAAACAAACCAGAGGGAAGUAUGCAGAACUAUUAGAUUAAACCAUAGACUAUGGAUUAAACUUUGUUAUAAUUAUUUUACACAGUUUUUAAAAAUGUGUAGGGUGUUGGUGAUAAAUAAAAAUAAAUUAAUUUUAAAAGUU
Long non-coding RNA from Culex pipiens pallens (northern house mosquito), 1270 nucleotides. RefSeq lists it as uncharacterized. The record is from RefSeq and is a predicted model, not a curated record. The transcript is spliced from 2 exons. Lineage: Eukaryota; Metazoa; Arthropoda; Insecta; Diptera; Culicidae.